UAAUUUAACUAACUUCUUCAAAUAUCAUUUUUAAUUUCAAUCAGUUGUGAUUCUCUUCCACAAAACGAAAAUUUCUAACACUGCAAAUUACCUGUGGUGGAAACCAUGAUAUGUGUGUGCCUUUCGCUUGAAUUCAGACAUGGACUUGGAUGUCUUUGAUAUAAGAUUGUUGAUGAAUGGAGGUCAUGGAUUUCUAAUGAUCAAGUUGCUGGUAAACCCACCAUCUCCUUUACAGAUUUUUUUUGGCUGCUACUACAGCCUUAACUCGAGAGCUCAGUCCUAAAAUUGAGGUUAGAACUAAAACUAAUUGGUUCCAUACUACAAUGCUUAAGAAUCUUUAUCUAUUUUUAUUUUUGUGCUCAAUGACCUUUUAAAAUGCUAUCAUUUCUCUUGUAGGUACUUGCAAGGAUAUGAUUACAACUUCACCUUUCUAACCAUAAAGGUAUAAGCAAUUCUUUUUUGCUUAAUUAUUAUAUUUUUAAUAAUAAUGAAAAUAAUGAUUAUAAACCAGUGUGCUUUAAUUGAGAAUUGAUUUAACAAUUAGACUACACUAUAAAUGCAGGGUGCCGGAUAUACAGUCCCAGAGUACAAGGUAAGAGAAUCACUAGAGUUCUACCGCUGUUGGUUGGAUGAAAUGUAACUAAAAUUAUACACAACAGAAAAUGUUAUGGGAAUUGAGGGAAAGGCAAACAUCCUCUUUGUCAAUAUAGUAUAUAACGGAUAUAUUUUAGUGUUGGAACACCAUUUGAGUUAUUUACAUGGUGCAUUUUGCGAUACAUUUGUGUGGUGUUAUGAAUGUGAAACGCAUUGUUUCUUACUGUUUGAGAUGUUAGUUAAGUUAGGCAAGAAAAGUUGUUUUGGCUGUUGCUUUUCUCCUUUCAGCAGUAUAUUGUUUAGUUUGUGAAAGUGUUAUAUUUGGUUGCAGAGAAAUAAAGUGGUUUACUGGAGAUUUUGGAACCAAAGGGACAUUUAUACUUUUUGGAGGGCAAAUUCAAAGCGGCAAUAUAAUGAUUUAUUUGGCUUUAAAGAGAGAUAAAUCAAUGUCAAUCAGACUAUGAGUCCUACUAGAGGUUCUUAUACCCCACUUCUGAUUAGAUUGAUAGGAGAAUGAGAGAUAGCUGAGUUUCAAGAGGUGAUUUGUUCAGAAAUCACAGAGGCAACCAGUUACAAGAUUUUGGAGUCGCUUUUAUCAAAAUAUCAGUUUUAGAGCUACUCAUACAAAACUAAAUAUAAAAGGAAGUUUAUUGUUAGCAAACUGAUAUAUUUUUCUAUGCUACAAAAUCUCAGUAUCAUGCAAUAUAUCGUUUUAAUGGUUCAAGCGAGAUAGUGGGCAACAUGCUAAAAGGAAAAAUUAUAAUUCUGAUACUUUUGUCAACAAAUUUUACUAACAAAUUUUAUCAAUGUACAUUAGUAAUUUUAACAGAUUUAUUAACGAAUUUGGAAAUCUUUUGAUAAUUAAAUAUAAAAAGUUGUGUAAACAUUCACUAGAUCCGUUAGUAAAUCACUAACAAUUUUAAUAUGUUAGUAAAUUUUGAGGUGUAAAUGAAAUAAAUUGUUUGUGAGCUAUUCGAGAUUCCAUGAGAUAAAAAUUCGUCCAAAUUUGACUCGAUUUCUAAACGAAUCAAAUUCAAACUUAAUUUUUAGGCUUGUUUAGUAAAUGAGACAAACUGAAACUCCAUAGUAUUCGUCUCGUCAAGGUUCGCGAGUUCGGCUGGUGUUCAAGUUCAUGAGCAGGCUGGCGAAUGGACUCCUGAAUAGUCUCGUUAAGAAGGCUGAGAUUAAUAUCAUAAGAGAAAUAAAUUUAAAUUCUACAUAUAUUUUCAUGAGUCAAAUCUAAAUUUUAUAAAGUUCAAUUCUAUAUUGUUUAAUUAUACUAUUAUAACUUGUAUAUAUUUGGAUUGUUAAGAGCUCAUCUUUAUAAGUUUAGGAGCUAAUUUGUAUAUAUACUUAUUUAGUUAAAAUUAUUUAGUUUUAAACUAAUUAAUUUUAAAUGAAAAUUCAUUAUACAUGUAAAUAAAUUGAAUUAUUGGUGAAUUAUUCGAGAUUAAACUCGAUAAAAACUUAACUCGUCUAAGUUUAUUUGCUAAAGGAGUCAAGUUUGAACUUAUUAAUACUCGGUUCAAAUUCGAAAUGAGUAAAACUCGAAUUCGACUCGAACUUAAAAAAAUUUUAACGAAUUAAAUUUAAACUUUUCAAAAUUCAGCUCUACUCGAUUCAUUUACACCCUAAGUAAAUUUUAAAAAGUCUUUAAAUUACUAAUAAAUUCUAAAUCCAUAGAUAAUUUGUCCAAAAAAUUAUUAACGGAUUUGAAAAUUCAUUAUUAAACUUUAUCAUCAAAUUAAUAAAUAAAGAAAAAAUAUUGAAUUUAUCAACGGAUGCUAUCUGCGGAUAAAUUCAUUAAUAAAUUUAAAAUAAAAUUUUACAAACAAUUUUUGCAUUUUUUUUUGCAAUUCACAUUUUCCGGUUACCAAUAAAUUUACUAACAUAUUUCAAAUCCAUGGGUGAUUUUCAAAGAGAAAAAGAUUGCUUUUCUUAAAAAAAAAAAAUUAGUAACGAAUUGCAAAUUCAUUAGUAAUUCACGUUUAUAAAUAUAACACUGCUUUUAUCAUUCAUUCAUCUUAUAAUCUACAUUUCUUCCAUUUUUUUCUUUCUCUCAUUUUCUUUCUUUUUUCUCUUACUUUCUUUCAUUUCAUUUUUUCAUCUCAUAAGUUUUUUUUCUUAUUUUUUAUAUUCUUUUUCUUUUAUCUCUUAUCCUAUUUUCUCGCAUCUUCUUUUCUCUUCUAUUAUUUUUUUCAUUCUUCAUAAUUUUCCUUUCAUUUUCUCCCAACUCUUUUCCAUCUUUUUCUUUCCUUUCCUUUUAUCUUCUUUGUUUUCUAUAUACUUUUCAUUCAUGUUAGUUUUUUAAUUUUAUUUUCUUUUAUCAUUUCUUUCUAUCUACAUUUUUUCUAUUAUUUUCUCUUUAUUUAUUUUCUUCUCUAAUUAUUUGUUCAUUUUUUUCAUUUUUCUAAUCAUCUUUUUACUCGACUCUCACUCUUUCUUCUUUUUCAUAAUUUUUAUUUUUCUAUUAUUUUCUUUAUUUUUCUUUUUUUUCUUUCUUUUUAUUAUUUUCUCUCAUUUUAUACCAUUUAUUUUUUUUAUUUUUACUUUUUAAGAUAUAAAUUAAAAAUUUAGUAACAACAAUAAUAUAAUUUUAAGUCUUAUUAAAUUAAUAAAAAAUUAUUUAAACUCUCAAUAGAUUUAUUAAUGGAUUGCAAUUCGUUGAUAAUUUACUAACAGAUUUUACAUCUGUUAAUAAAUUAUUUUUCUUUUAUACUAACAGAUUUAAAGUUUGUUAAUAAUUUAAAAUCAGUUAGCAAUUUAAAAUCUGUUGGUAAUAAUAAUGAAAAUUCCGUUAAUAAAUCCACUAGUAUUAUUAAUGAAAUUAAAAGUCGUUGGUAAAAAUUUACCAUCGAACUUUUUAACAACAGAUCGUAAUCUGUUAGUAAUCCAUUAUUAAUUCAUUUACCAAUAAAUUUUUAUUGGAUUGCCAAUGGAAAAAUCACUGUAUUAUCAAUACAAAUUAAGAAAUUGUUGAUUCAUAUCUUUACAAUAAGAUGUCUUUUAAACUCUUAAGACUUUUGAAGCUAAAAUUGAAGAAACAUUCAUGAUAUUGUAUUUCUCCUUUGGUUGAAACUGUUAUUCAUGCAAGAUGAUUUUCUCUGUUAUAACACUUUGAAAUAAUGUCUAUUAUUGGAAUGCAUAUAACUAUUUGACCGAUAUAAAAUAGGUAUAAUGAGUAUAUAGUUAUCUAUCAGUUUGUGUCAUUUAAUUUUACUGUCUGUUUAUAAAUAUAUUUACAUUCAUUUAAUUUUAAUAUCACAUUGGUAAAUUAUAAGAGAUGAAGAGUUAUCAUUUCCUAUAAAAAGAGAAGGUCUCUCCUCCGUACAAUAUUAGUACCUGGUUUUUAUUAUAUUAUGAUAUUCUUAUAUAGGGCCAUCAGAAAAUUUAGAUAUUUUUAUUUAAUUUUAUUUUAAAACUAUUUCUAAGCUCUAACUAAUAAUUCAGCUUGAAUGCAAGCUCACCACGAGCCACGCUCGAAUCAAGUUCAAGUUAAAGUUCGUUAAAUAUUUCAUGAAUCGAAUUCGAACUUGUAAAAAUUUUUUUAAAAGCAAGCUUGAACUUUAGAAAUGUUGGCUCGACUCAAUUAUCUCUAACCAUUUGAAUUACAAAUAAAUUCAUUAAUAGAUUAAUUGUAUGUAUCAUUAAUAGAUUUAUAAACGGAUAAAUCAUUUGAAUUACAAACAAAUUUAUAAAUAGAUUAACCAUUUGUAUCAUAAAUGGAUUUAUAAGGUUUAUAUUAUAAAUGGAUUUACAAAAAGAUUAUCCGUUUAUAUGUGAAAUUUCAUUUCUAAAUAAUAGGGAAUAUGUGAAUGAAAAAUAUAAACGAAUAUCAAAUUUGUUUAUAUCAUAAAUGGUUAUUCUGUUUAUAAAUCCAUUUGUAUCAUAAACAAAUUAUUUUUCGUUUGAAAAAAAAAAUACAAACAAUAUUUAAACAAAUGGACAAAAGUCUAUUUAUGAUCCAUUUGUAAAUUUAAUUUUUUUUUAAAGUGCUAGAGAUUUAGUAAGUUGGAGAGAGCAGAGCUAACAGCAGCCUCUCUCUUAUAACCAUUCGAAGACUAGAGUCAUAUCUGUGGCAUUAAUAGCAUCUUGAUAUGUCACCUCCCUAGAAAAUUUGAACCCAUCCUACAAAAAAGAAUAUAUGCAAGCAAACCACAGCUCCCUCAGUCGUCGGAAGAGUGAUAUCACAUCUUGAAAAUACUCUCACCAUGAAGCUCCAAAUCUAGAAAUGUAAAAGCAAAAAUAGAAAAACACAGUAUUUUCACCCCAGCCCUAGAGACAAGGAGAGUAAACCCACAUCCAAGGCUCGAGGAAGCCAUCCCGUACUUAAAAGGUAUAGGGAAAGGCUGCCCUCAGAAGUAAACAGGUAGAGAUAAAGCUUUAUUAUAAUCUAAUAAUUUGAUUGGUUAUUUAAAAUAUCUAAUUUGAUUGGUUAAUUAUAUUAGUUUUCUAUUAAAAUUUAAACCAAAAUUUUAUUAUAAUCUAAUAUAAAAAAUUAACUAAAAUUUAAACUUCCAACUUAAAAGAUCAUCAAAAGUAUGAAUAUUUUUAAUGCUGAAUAUUUGAGUUUGUGGCUAAAAUUUUUGGAAUUCCCAAUUUCCUUUUGUUAUCCUUACCACAUUACCAGCUGGCAGAGAGCCUUCCUUUUCCGAUUCUCUGUUUCCUUUCCCCAUUCCCAAUCUCCGAUCCAUCCCCAAAAACAACUGACGAGAGAUCGAUGAUGAUGAAGAUGCCUUGGAGGAGGAAGAGUAGGAGCUUCCAUCUUCAGCUACAAGGGGCAAUUGGUACCAUUCAAUCUCCAUUCCUAUUCUUAUUUACCAAUUAUUGUCAUUCUUCUACUUCCACACUUGAAGAUGCACGCUUCUUGACAAAUAACUUCAAAUCUGCUUCUUUUACCCGCCUUGAUGAUGCCAUUGCUUCCUUUAAUCAUGUAAUUCAUAUGCAUCCUCUUCCUUCUAGGGCUCAAUUUAGUAGAUUCUUCUCUGCCCUUGUGAAAAUGAAACAAUAUCACACUGUAUUUUCCAUGUCCAAAACAAUUGAAUUGGUAGGAAUCUCCCACGAUGUUUAUUCUCUUAGCAUCUUAAUUAAUUGCUUCUGCCACUUACACCUUGUGGAUUUUGGCUUCUCUGUUUUCGGAAAGAUGUUCAAAUUCGGAUUGGAGCCUACCACUGUGACAUUUACUACCUUAAUCAAUGGGCUUUGUAUAGAGAGUUAAAUGGACAAAGCAGUGGAAUUUUUCGAUGAUAUGGUUGCACGUGGUUAUCAACCUGAUGUUCGUACUUUCACUGUGAUAGNNNNNNNNNNNNNNNNNNNNNNNNNNNNNNNNNNNNNNNNNNNNNNNNNNNNNNNNNNNNNNNNNNNNNNNNNNNNNNNNNNNNNNNNNNNNNNNNNNNNNNNNNNNNNNNNNNNNNNNNNNNNNNNNNNNNNNNNNNNNNNNNNNNNNNNNNNNNNNNNNNNNNNNNNNNNNNNNNNNNNNNNNNNNNNNNNNNNNNNNNNNNNNNNNNNNNNNNNNNNNNNNNNNNNNNNNNNNNNNNNNNNNNNNNNNNNNNNNNNNNNNNNNNNNNNNNNNNNNNNNNNNNNNNNNNNNNNNNNNNNNNNNNNNNNNNNNNNNNNNNNNNNNNNNNNNNNNNNNNNNNNNNNNNNNNNNNNNNNNNNNNNNNNNNNNNNNNNNNNNNNNNNNNNNNNNNNNNNNNNNNNNNNNNNNNNNNNNNNNNNNNNNNNNNNNNNNNNNNNNNNNNNNNNNNNNNNNNNNNNNNNNNNNNNNNNNNNNNNNNNNNNNNNNNNNNNNNNNNNNNNNNNNNNNNNNNNNNNNNNNNNNNNNNNNNNNNNNNNNNNNNNNNNNNNNNNNNNNNNNNNNNNNNNNNNNNNNNNNNNNNNNNNNNNNNNNNNNNNNNNNNNNNNNNNNNNNNNNNNNNNNNNNNNNNNNNNNNNNNNNNNNNNNNNNNNNNNNNNNNNNNNNNNNNNNNNNNNNNNNNNNNNNNNNNNNNNNNNNNNNNNNNNNNNNNNNNNNNNNNNNNNNNNNNNNNNNNNNNNNNNNNNNNNNNNNNNNNNNNNNNNNNNNNNNNNNNNNNNNNNNNNNNNNNNNNNNNNNNNNNNNNNNNNNNNNNNNNNNNNNNNNNNNNNNNNNNNNNNNNNNNNNNNNNNNNNNNNNNNNNNNNNNNNNNNNNNNNNNNNNNNNNNNNNNNNNNNNNNNNNNNNNNNNNNNNNNNNNNNNNNNNNNNNNNNNNNNNNNNNNNNNNNNNNNNNNCACUCACCCUAUUGAAAGAAAUGGAGGAAAGUCAGUUGAAGCCUGAUCUUGUGACCUAUUGCAUUCUGAUCAAUGGUAUGUGCAAAGCUGGCAAGAUUAAUGAUGCCAAGGAACUGUUUUCUAGUCUUUUUGAAAAUGGUUUACAACCUAAUGUUCAUAUAUAUAGUGCAAUUAUGAAAGGACUCUGCUGAUGAUGGACUAAUAGACGAAGCAUAUAAGAUUUUUAGAGACAUGGAAAAGGGAGGAUGUUUACCGAAUAAUUAUUCUUAUAAUAUCAUCAUUCAAGGGUUUCUCAGGCAUGAGGAUUUAUCAAAAGCAUCACAACUAAUCAAUGAAAUGGUUGAUAAGGGGUUCUCUGCUGAUGAUGCUACCACAGAAUUGGUAGUACAUUUAUCGCAGAAUAAUAAUUUCAUUCUAAGGCUUUUAAAGGUGCGCAAUGAGGGAUCAACAAACUAAAGUUGUUAUAUCUUGACCAUUCAAGUGUAUCUUAGAGCGGAACUUGGUAAUUACCUUUUCCAAAUAUAAUAGAUAUGUAAUUUAACUAACUUGAAUCAACUGUGAUUCUCUUCCACAAAAUGAAAAUUUCUAAUACUGCAAAUUACCUGUGGUGGAAGCCAUGGUAUGUGUGUGCCCUUCGCUUGAAUUCAGACAUGGACUAGAUCUCUUUGAUAUAAGAUUGUUGAUGAAUGGAGGUCAUGGAUUUCUAAUCAUUAAGUUGCUGGUAAACCCACCAUCUCCGUUAUAAUUUUUUUUUGCUGCUACUACAGUCUUUACUUGAGAGCUCAGUCCUAAAAUUGAGUUGAGAACUAAAACUAAUUGGUUCUAUACUACAAUGCCUAAGAAUCUUUAUCUAUUUUUAUUUUUGUGCCAAAUGACCUUUCAAAAUGCUAUCAUUUCUCUUGUAGGUACUUGCAAGGAUAUGACUACAACUUCACCUUUCUAACCAUAAAGGUAUAAGUAACUCAUUUUUGCUUAGUUAUUAUAAUUUUUAAUAAUAAUGAAACUAAUGAUUAUAAACCAGUGUGCUUUAAUUGAGAAUUGUUUUAACAAUUAUACUACACUAUAAAUGCAGGGCGCAGGAUAUACAGUCCCAGAAUACAAGGUAAGAGAAUUAGUAGACUUCUACCGCUUUUGGUUGGAUGAAAUGUCACUAAAAUUAUAGACAACGGAAAAUGUCAUGGGAAUUGAGGGGAAAAACAAACAUCCUCUUUGUCAAUAUGGUAUAUAACAGAUAUAUUUUAGUGUUGGACCACCAUUUGAGUUCAUAAAUUGGCUCGUGAAUAGACUCGUGAACAUUCUGGUUAAACAAACUGAAAUUAAUAUCAUAAAGAAAUAAAUUCAACCCCUACAUAUACUUUUGUGAGCCUAAUCCAAAUUUAUUAAAGUUUAGCUCUAUAUAUUUUAAUUACUCUUAAAACUUAUAUAUAUUUGGAUAGUUAAGAACUCAUCUUUUAAAUUUGUGAGUUAAUUUGUAUAUAUAUUUUUUUGGUUAAAAUUAUUUAUUUUUAAAUUUAUUAGUUUUAAAUUAAAACUCAUUAUAUAUGUAAAUAAAUCGAAUAUAGACUAAAUUCGAUAAAAACUCGACUAGUCUAAAUUUAUUUGCUAAACUAACUUAGUUUGAGUUUAUUAAUACUCGAGUUCGAAAUGAGUAAAACUUGAAUUCAUCUUGAGUUCGAAAAAAUUUUAAUGAACUAAACUUGAACUCUUCAAAAUUCGGUUAUAUUCGGCUCAUCUACACUCCAAAGUAAAUUUUAAAAAGUGAUUAAAUUACUAAUGAAUUCUAAAUUCAUUGGUAAUUGGCCCAAAAAAUUACUAACUAAUUUGAAAAUUCAUUACUAAACUUUAUCAUCAAAUUAAUAAGUAAAAAAAGUGUUAAAUUUAUCAAUUGAAGCUUUACGCUGGAAAAUCCGUUGGAUAAAAUUAAAAUAAAAUUUCAUAAAAUUUCCACGUUUUUUUACUACUCAUAUUUUUUCCGUUAUUAAUGGAUUUAAUAACAUAUUUUAAAUUCAUUAAUUUUUAAAAAGAGAAAAGACUUUUUUUUUUCUAAAUUUAAUAAUAAAUUAUAAAUUCAUUAGUAAUUCGCGGUUAUAAAUAUUAGACCGGUUCUUCUGGUUUUAUCAUUUAUUUAUCUUAUUAUUUUCUUCUCUUCCAUUUUCCUUCCUCCUCUCAUUAUCAUUUUCCUCCCUUCCUUUCUCUCAUUUUCUUUUUUUUCUAUUACUUUAUUCAGUAUUUCACUCUUUUAUUGCAUAAUUUUUUUUUAUUUUUUCUAUUAUUUUCCUUUCAUCUCUUAUCCUAUUUUCUCUCAUUCUCUUUCCUCUUUUAUUAUUUACUUCCUUCUUCAUAAUUUCCUUUCAUUUUCUCCAUUUUUUCUAUUUGGUUCUUUUAUUUUCUCCCAUUUUCUUUAUUUUCUCUAUAAUUUUCAUUCAUAUUAAUUUUUCUAAUAUUAUUUUUUUCUAUCAUUUUUUUCUAUUUAUAUAUUUUUUAUUAUUUUCUCUUUAUUUAUUUUUUUCUCUAAUUAUUUGUUCACUUUUUUUCAUUUAUCUAAUAAUAUUUUUACUCUACUCUCAUUCUUCAUUCUUUUUUUAUAAUUUUUAUUUUCUACCAUUUUCUUUAUUUUUCUCUUUUUUUCUCCUUUUUUUAUUAUUUUCUCCCAUUUUAUACCAUUUACUUCUCUUAUUUUCACUUUCUAUGUAUUUCUAAUAAAUAUUGGAUACAAAUUUAAAAUUUAGUAAUAAUAAUAAUAUAAUUUUUAAUCUUAUUAAAUUAAUAAACAAUUAUUUAAACUCUCAGUAGAUUUAUUAAAAAAUUGUAAUUUGUUAGUAAUUUAUUAAUGAAUUUCAUGUCUAUUAGUAAAUUAUUUUUCUUUUAAUGUAUUAAUACAUUUAAAAUCUGUUAAUAAUAAUAAUGAAAAUUUUAUUAGUAAAUUCAUUAUUAUUAUUAAUAUACUUGAAAACUGGUGUUAAAAAUUUACUAUCGAGAUUUUUAAUAAUAGAUCUAAUCCAUUAGUAAUAUGUUGGUAAUUCAUUUAUCAGUGAAUUUUUUAUUGAUUACCAUUGAAAAAUUCAUUAAUAAUCUAUAAAUUUUUUUAGUAUUUUUAAAAAUAAAAAUAAAAAUACUAUUUUUAAAUUUAGAUUUUAAGAACUUUUAGUUGAAUAAAUGAAAAUUUAAAACUUUUUGCGACUAUAAUAUUAUCCAUAUUAAUGAACUAGCUAAAUUUUUUUUAGUUUAAUUUAUUCACUAAAAAUAUAGAUAAUAUGUUUAUCACAAUAUAUCAAAAAAUUAAAAAUACAUAUAUGAUUAUUAUUUUAAUAUACGCCGCAGAACCUCCUCUCCGCCUCUUGCAACGCUUCGGACUACCAGGGGAACCUCAGUGACACCGUCGACCAUUUCAGAGCUGCUAUGGAGCCAAUCGAUUCAACAAGCGAGAAAUUCAUGGCCAAGGCGCCCAUUCUUGACUCGAAGACACAAAAUCACAGCUGCUCCUCACCUAAGAUUUGCAUUGGUUGCAACCUCCAGGUAUAAAUUUUGGUUUAUUGGGGUUUGAUCCGAUGAAAUUUCUAUUUCUCUAGGUUGUUUAGAUGUAUAUAAUCUUGUAUUAAGUACUUCCAUUGAUUGAUUCAGUUGAGAUGCUUGUGUUUGGAUGUUACAUAGUUUGAAGCAAUUCGUAUGACCUCCUCAAUUUUACCUGUGAGAGCUGCUAGGAGUUUUAUUUCCUUGAAAAUUGAUUAGUUCCUCAAGACCUCUAAAGAUUGUAUAUAAAUGGAAAGUUGGCAACACUCUCAAGAAGCUCCAGGAUUGCAAGCUUUAUUAUCCUUCUUUCUAGGUUCAUCCCUUCAGAAUCUCACAGAAAUUACUUAGCAUUUUGUCUUUUCAAAUUAGUUGUUUAUUUUUACUUUACUAAAAAUUAUUUUUUCUGCAAUUUGCAUGAUCUAAUUCUAUGAUCUAAUUCUAUGGAGCAGGUGUUACUUUCUCAUUUAUUAGAAUUUACUUUUAUACCAUUACUAUCCCUCAGUAACGGAGCUUAAACUCAUUUUCAAACACUCAUUUUUUUAAUUAUUUUUGAAAUUUGAAAUUUGAUGUUUAUUUUCUUUAUAUGCCCAAUUAUAAAUAUAAAUAAUUGUAUAUUUUGUUGUCCUAUAUUAUGUAAGAUUUCUGAAACAUAUUAAGAUUAAGGUUUUGCCAAAUUUUGAUCAGUUUUUUUUAAUUAGUUAAAAUUUAUUGUGAAAUAUUAUUUUUUUCAGUGAAAUUUUUAAUGGUUUUUUAAUUUAAUAGAAAUUUUAACUUUAAUUUCAAUUUUAAAAAAUUAAAAGAAAGCUAGAUACAAAACAUGGUAUGUAGUGUUUAUGCAGUUCAACCACUCAUCCAUCAUUCUUCUCUAUCAACUUCCCAGAAACCAUAACCCAUCCCCGCUCUACACUUUCGACCCAAAAACAAGAUUCCAUUCACCAUUGUCGCAGCCACCUCCUUCAACCCAUCUCCAACACCGUCAGCUCCCAUAGCAGAAAUCAUAAAUAAGAGAUUAUAAAAAAAGAUUUGGUCAAAAUACAAUUCUAAUUCAUAAUAAAAAUUACAUGUACACAACUAAAUUAUUACAUCAGAACUGUAACAGCCCGCAAACCGGACCAUUACCGGCGCUAGAAUUCAGGUCAACCUGAGGCCGUCUGAACCCGUAGCAAGCCUACUAUGAACUCUGUGUACCUGAUAAAUCCCAUACAUGAUCACACAUUUCCAUAAAAAUUUUGAUUUUUCAUUAAAUUAGCUUGACCUGUACAUGAAUCAUAACUAUAAACAUAAAUAGCCUACUAGAGUCCUCAUCAAAUACUCCAGAGGGUCAUAAAACUGUCAAGCUUAAAGGUUAUCAUAAAGAUAAACAUCAUAAGUCAUAAAAUACUGAUCAUGUACAAAGGGAAAUCAACAUAGUCUUAGGGCUAUGCACAAUUUCUAACUGUUUUCAUUACAUCACUUUUAACAUAAACAUAACUAUUACAUUCCUUCUCAAAGUAUUGUACAUGUCCACUUUCUAUACAUAUUCCUAACUUUACCCUGGCUGAUGCUCUGACUUCCUCUGAGGCCCUAAAACACGGGGUUAGGGAGAGGGGUGAGCUACUAGAACCCAGUGAGUAGAAUCACAUAAAACAUUAAAUACAUAUUCUCAAUGAAAUGCAUCACAACUCAAACAAUUCACAUAACGGAUGGACAUGACCUCAAAACUCCCUAAGCUAUUUGCCCGACCACCAUAAAGGGCACCACAGGACUUCGUAAUGCCUGGCCCAGCCAGGUCUUUCCAUAGGGCUAUUGGGUCGCUUGGGUCCAUCCACAUCAUCAUGAUAUCAUAGAUCAACAUUAUGCAAUGCAACAGCUUCGUGGUUACUAGUGCAGUACAUCCUACUAUAAACAUGGUAUUCAUGAUGCAUGAAACAUGCUAAAACAUUUAUUUACUUAAAACAUAGUUUAGUUCUACUCACCUCUAACAAUAGCUGGACUGUCUCUGAAAAUCUAACUCUGAGGGCCUCCUUGGUUCCUUGGGUCCGUACCUACACAGGCGGACUCAAAUGAGGUACCGAACAUACUCUAACAUAGCUAUGAAUAUCUCUCCAAAAACCCCCUAAAACAUCAUAAACAUGCUUGGAAAAAUUGGCAAAGAAAAGCUGAACAGAGGCCUUUCGGCGGCAGGUUCGGCGGCCGAAACCCCCCUCCAGAGACGAAAGUCACCCACCUUCGGCGGCACUUUCGGCGGCCGAACCUUGCCUCCAGAGACGAAAGUCUACUUUCGGGGGCAGGGUUUGGCAGUCGAAACUGCUUCCAUAAGGGGUUCGGCGGCCGAAAGUCCACUUUCGGCGGCCGAACCUGAGUUUCCCCAGAAGGCAGAAACUCGGGCAACUUCCUCUCCACAGCCUCCAAAACCCUCACACAACCUAUCAACAUGCAAGCCAACUUUCCAAACAUGCAACUAACAUCAAACAUGCAUAAAGGAGCUUAAAAACUCAACUUAAACUCCAAUAAACAUAUCAAAUCAUCAUAGAACAUAAUCUUUAACCUAAUACCACAAAACCUAGAUCCAUGCAUAACUAACCUUAAAACUCCCAAAAUCUCUUAAAAACAUGCUUAAACAUAAAGGGGAGAGGAGGAUCCAUGCUUACCUCUUGAAGAACGAGAGGAUCAAUGGUCCAAACUUGGAGAUGGGUGGAAAACCAAAUCAAAACUCCAAGUUGCUCAACUUUGCUUAUUUUGCUCCAAAACUCUAAAACCAAGUUUAAAACAUGUAAAAACAUGCAAGAUUUGAAGAAAACUCAUAUGAACAUACCAAGGGGAAAGAGAGCUAACCUUUGGCUCAAAACAGGGGGUGCAACACCCCUGUUUUCGGCCAAGGAUGGCUUAAAUAGGUGGCCAGCCGCCUCACCUUCGGCAGCCGAACGUGCAUGCGAAACCAUGCAACCUUCGGCGGCCGAAAAUGAGCUUCGGCGGCCGAACCUGGGAAAAUUCCCUUGGCCUUUUUCUUUUCCAAAACUCAACUUUCUUAGCUCAAAACAUUAAAACCAUGAUAAUCAUAUGAGAAAACAUGUAAUUUACCCUUCUAGCAUAACCCGUCAUCUUGUGAAAUUCCUAAUUCCACAGAGAACCCGCCCAAAAGGUACGGAUUCCAAUGCCGGAGUCUAGCCGGGUAUUACAAGAACUAUAUUAAACAACUCUACUAAUCUCCCAACUAAUUUUGACCCUAUAAAUCUAGAAUUAUGAGAAAGAAAUAAACUUAUAAGAGCCUAAUAAGCAGAAAUAUAAUUAUAAAAUAAUUUAAUAAAAUAUAUGACCGUAUAAAUGUUUCACAAUACAGACAAUUCACAUUAAGAUUUGCUAAUUAAGAAAACAUAUUUUGAUUUUUUAGGUUAGUUUUGAAGAUAAGAUAGAGAUGAUGUUCUUGAAUUUUUCAAUUUUAAAAAUUUAAAAAUAUUUUAAUGGAUGACCAUUUAAUAAAGUUAUGUUUCAAUUAUUGAUUUGAAUUUAAUUUGCUUAAAAUGAUAAUAUAUAGGAUAAUUAUACCAAAAUUGAAAGUUAAGGGGCUCGAUUGGACCUAAAAAAUUUUAAAGAACUUAAUUUACUUUUGGUUAAUAAUUAAAGGGUUAAAAUUAGCUUUUUGCCUAAAAGAAAUUGGGCAGGUUUAUUUCCUUAGAAUAGGAGCAGGCAUUCAAAGGGGAAUUACAAUUUAUCACUCCAGCAAUUAUGAAUGGGUAGAAGAUUGUAAAAUUUUAGAGCGACAAACAUGUAGAAUGAAUAUGUGAGAUAGAGAAAUGUACUGACAAGGAGUGUAUUUGAAAUGAAUCAUUGAUUUCAAUAGAUUAAGAGUUUUGUUAUGAGCAAAUAGAAAAGAUAUAGUCUAAACUUUAUUUCUUUUAUGAAAGAUAAUAUUUAUUAGUUUAAUUUUCAAUUUGAGAUGAGUUUUUUAGAAUAGAUCCUAUAUCUUUGAUAAAAAAAAAAAAAAAUCCAACCUCUAAUUUUGAUACAAUGAAGGUUGACGUUGAGAAUUAACUCAAAACUAAUCUAAAAAAUGUCUAUAUAAGUACAAUUCUUAGAGGUGCCUUGGAAAUUCUAGAAUGUAGAGAUAUUAAGUAGAAUAGGUUGCACGAUAGGAAACUGUGAAGAGGGCAGAGUGGGUUAUGCAAGAAUAUUAGUAAAAUGAACUUGUUAAGGGCUGUUAUUUGAAGCUGUUAUUCUAAAAGAUGCCUCCAUUCAUAAAUCACAUGUUGAGAGAAUUGAUGACUACUCUCAUAGUGUAGAAACUUUAGACAUCAUGAAUUUCAGUGUAAGAAAAGAUACAAGAGAUAAAUCUAGCAAUUUAAGAAUAAAAAAUAGAUGUAAAUAAGGGUAACAAUGUUGAAGAGGUGGUAAUCGGUGGCAGGGAAUAUAAAUGAAGUAAAAUGAAAGAGGAGAGUGGUGGGAAGUGGGAAAGGAAAAGAGAAGAUAUAUAGUCUCACAAGAGAAAAUUAUUAAUUAUAUAAUAUUAUAACAGAGAGAUUGGAGAGCAUUUUAGUUUUUUUUUUCUUUAUAUAUAUAUAGUUUAUGCAAAUUGAUUCGAAAAGUUUAACGUUUUAAUCUAAAUUUUUUAAUUUUAGUUUAGUUAGUUUAAUUUUUACAUUCUUAUGUAAUUUUAAUUGACUUAUCAAUUUUUAAAUUUUUGGUAUAUCACAUAAUAUAUUAUUAUUAUAUAAAUUAAUGAUUAAAUUAUCAAAAAACCUAACAUUUACAUUAUUUUGUAUUUUAAUUCAAAUGUUUAAAUUUUGAUUUAAUUGAUCCAAUAUUUAUAUUUGAUUGUAAUUUUAAUUAAUUUUAAAAAUCAAAAUAUAAGAAUUCGAAUAUCAAAUGUAAUAUUUUAUUAUCUUUUAAAUAUAAACUAAUUCAAAUAAUAUUAAUUCACAUUUAAUUAUAGUUAAAUUAUAUAUUUUAUUUUAAAGUUAAUAAUAAUUUAAUAAUUAAAUAGGCUGUCUAUAUGGAUAAAUUUUAUUUUGCAUUCAUAAUUAUGAAGAAUUUAUAAUAGAUAUAUUAUUUUUAAUUAUUUUAUAUAUAUUGUUAUUUAAAUUAAAUAAUAUAUUUAUUUAAAAUUUAAACUUUUAAAUUAAAAUGUGAUGAUAUAAAUAUUAGAUUUUUUUAAUUAAUUAAUCAAUUAAAAAAUUAUAAUAAUACACGUGCCGAUUAAAUAAUUAAAUUUAAAAAUUUACAGAUGGAAUAAAAUUACAUUAAAAAUUGUAAAAAUUGAGUUAAUUAAAUUAAAAUUAAAAUAUAAAUACCUGUAAAUGUUAAAUAUUUUUAAGUCAAUUAACCUAUAAUUUAUUUUAUACAUGUCUAUAAAUAAUUAAGAAUCUAUUUAUUAUUUAAAUUGUCAAAACUACAUUUGCAUAGAUUUAAUAAUUAUAUAGUUAUUUUAUUUUAUUAUUAUUUAAAAUAUUUAAUUUGAUUAGUUAGUUAUAUUAUUUUCUAUUUAAAUUAAAUUUAAAAUUUCUUAUAAUCUAAUAUAAAAAACUAACUAAAAUUUAAAACUUCCAUUUAAAAGAUCAUCAAAAGUAUGAAUAUUUUUAAUAGUGAAUAUUUGAGUUUGUCGCUAAAAUUUAUAUAUUAUAAAUUUACAUUAAUAUUAUUAAUAAUAAAAUAAAUAACAAAUAAAAUUUAAAAUGCAAAAUAUAUUUAGUGAAUUUAACAUUUCAAAAUUUUAUUAUUUUGCAAUAAUUUAUAUUAAUUUUUUAUGAUAUUAAUUAAAUUUGUAAUAUUAUUCAAAUAAAAUGUUAAAAUAAAAAUGUGCUAAACAGUUCUCAUGAGAGUUAGAGUUAAGCUUUGUAAAAAAAUUAAUUUUUAUUAGACUAAAAUAAAGUAAUUAAUAAUAAAAAAAUUAUAUAAAGUUAGUCAUUUUAAAUUUCUAAUUAUAUUAGAGUAAAAUUAAACAAUAAACUUUUUUUUCUCAUCUAUAUUAUACACAAUUAGACUAUAAUAAUAUUUUAAAAAAUGUAUAUUGCUAAUUAUUUAUUAAAUAAGGAAUAUUGUUUAAUAAAAUAAAAAUCAAUAUUCUACAAUUAUAUUAAUAAAUUUUAUUUAAAAAAAUAAAAUUAACAAAAUUAAUUAAUUUUUAACUAAAUUUAAUUAAAUAUAAAGUAAUGUUAUAAUAAUUUAAUAUUAUUAUUAAAUUUGGAUCAGGCCUAACUCACUCCAAAAGCUAGCUCAAGAGGGAGGAUUGUCUAUGACCCUUAUAAGGGGCACAUUAUCCUUUUCCACAACCGAUGUGGGAUUCUACAACCGAUGUGGGAUUCUACAACCGAUGUGGGAUUCAACACACCCCUCUCACGCCCAGAAUUUUACUGGUGCGUGACACAUUUAUAGGAGGCCCAAUAUCGAAUGGGGAGGCUCUGAUACCAUAUUAAAUUUGAAUCAGGCCUAACUCACCCCAAAAGGUAGCUCAAGGGAAAGAAUUGCCUAUUAUUCAUAUAAGGGGCACAUUACCCCUUUCCACAAUUGACGUGGGAUUCAACAAUUAUAAUAAUAUAAAAGAAAAUUUAUUUAGUUAUUCAAAAUGAAUUUAAUACAAUAUUGUAUACAAAAUUAAUAUAAAAAUUUAUUUAGUUAUUCAAAAUGAAUUUAAUACAAUAUUGUAUACAAAAUUAAUAUAUAUACAAUAUUAACGUACACAAUAUCUGGAAAUAUGAAGUUAAAAAAAAUUAUGAAAAAUAAAUUUAAAUUUUUUUAAAAUUUUAGGCUAAUUAAACUAUAUAAUUUUAUUAAAGGCUAAAUAGAUUCUAACUUAAUAUUAUUUUUAUAAUUUAAAACAUUAAAAAAUUUUAUAUUUUAAUUAUUAUAAAAUUUUUUAAAAAUAUAUAAAUAUAAUAAAUAAUUUUUAUAAUUAUAAAAAUAAAUUUUUAUUAUAUAAAAAUUAUUUUUAUUAUUAAAAAAUAAUAUUAUAUUAUUAAAAAAAUUAUAUUACGUUAGAUUAUGACUUAUUUGAUUCUUAGCAAUAAUAUAUAGACUUAAUUGAUUCAAAAUUUUGAAUUAAGAUUAUUUGACUCUUAAAAAAAGGUAGAGGCUUUACCAGCUGGCAGAGAGCCUUCUUUUUCCGAUUCUCUAUUUCCUUUCCUCAUUCCCAAUCUCCGAUCCAUCCCUAAAAACAACUGACGAGAGAUCGAUGAUGAUGAAGAUGCCUUGGAGGAGGAAGAGCAGGAGCUUCCAUCUUCAGCUACAAGGGGCAAUUGGUACCAUUCAAUCUCCAUUCCUAUUCUUAUUUACCAAUUAUUGCCAUUCUUCUACUUCCACACUUCAAGAUGCACGCUUCUUGACAAAUAAUUUCAAAUCUGCUUCUUUUACCCACCUUGAUGAUGCCAUUGCUUCCUUCAAUCAUGUAAUUCAUAAGCAUCCUCUGCCUUCUAGGAUUCCAUUUAAUAGAUUCUUAUCUGCCCUUGUGAAAAUGAAACAAUAUCACACUGUCCUUUCCAUGUCCAAAACAAUUGAAUUGCUAGGAAUCACUCACGAUGUUUAUUCUCUUAACAUCUUAAUUAAUUGCUUCUGCCGUUUACAUCUUGUGGAUUUUGGCUUCUCUGUUUUCGGAAAGAUGUUCAAAUUCGGAUUGGAGCCUACCACUGUGACAUUUACUACCUUAAUUAAUGGGCUUUGUAUAGAGAGUAAAAUGGACAAAGCAGUGGAAUUUUUCGAUGAUAUGCUUGCACGUGGUUAUCAACCUAAUGUUUAUACUUUCAAUGUGAUAGUAAAGGGAUUGUGUAAAUUUGGGAAAACAAAUCUGGCUAUUGAGCUACUAAAGGAAAUGGCUGAUAGAGGUUGUGAGCCAGAUGUGACAUACAAUGCAAUCAUUGACACACUUUGCAAAGAUGAGCUAGUUGGUGAGGCUUUAGAGCUCUUCUCUCAAAUGAGGAAUAAGGGCAUUUCACCUAAUGUCAUCACUUACACUAGUUUAAUUCAUGGUGCUUGCAAAUUAGGCCAAAAGAACCAAGCUUUGGCCUUGAUGAAUGAAAUGGUGGAGCAGAACAUAUUACCAAAUGUUUAUACCUUCAGUGUAUUGAUUGAUGCUCUUUGUAAGGAUGGAAUGGUUUCAGAGGCUCAAAAUACAUUCAAUGUAAUGAUUCAAAGAGGUGUAGAGCCUGAUGUGGUCACCUACAAUUCCUUAAUUGAUGGUCUUUGCAUUUCAGACCAAUUCCAGGAAGCUUUGGCCUUGUUGAAAGAAAUGGUGGGGAGGAACAUAUCCCCUGAUGUUUUUACCUUCAAUAUAUUGAUCGACACUCUUUGUAAGAAAGGACUGGUUUCAAAUGCACAGAAUAUAAUCAAGAUAAUGAUUCAAAGAGGUGUGGAACCUGAUGUUGUCAAUUAUAAUUCGUUGAUGGAUGGAUAUUGUCUGCGCAAGCAAAUUGAUAAGGCUAGAAAGCUAUUUGAUCUGAUGGUGACAAAUGAAAUAGCUAACAUUUUUAGUUACAACAUUUUGAUCAAUGGAUAUUGUAAGUGCAAAAUGAUAGAUGAUGCAAAGGAUAUUUUUGUUGAAAUGUCUCAUAAAGGUUUAGUUCCUGGUGUUGUUACUUAUUCUACUCUUAUAGAGGGUAUGUUUCAAGCAGGGAGGCCCCAAACUGCACAGGAGCUCUUUAAGAAUAUGUGCUCUCACGGUCAACAGCCAAAUAUAGUAACCUUCUCAAUUAUGAUUAAUGGCUUGUGUAGUCAGGGGAAUCUCGAUGAAGCACUCACCCUAUUGAAAAAAAUGGAGGAAAGUCAGUUAAAGCCUAAUCUUGUGACCUAUUGCAUUCUGAUCAAUGGUAUGUGCAAAGCUGGCAAGAUUAAUGAUGCCAAGGAACUGUUUUCUAGUCUUUUUGAAAAUGAUUUACAACCUAAUGUUCAUAAAUAUAGUGCAAUUAUGAAAGGACUCUGCCGAGAAGGAUUAAUAGUCGAAGCAUAUAAGAUUUUUAGAGACAUGGAAAAGGGAGGAUGUUUACCGAAUAGUUGUUGUUAUAAUAUCAUCAUUCAAGGGUUUCUCAAGCAUGAGGAUUUACCAAAAGCAUCAGAACUAAUCAAUGAAAUGGUUGACAAGGGAUUCUCUGCCGAUGCUACUACCACCGAAUUGGUAGUACGUUUAUUGUGCAAUGAUGAUCUCAUUCUGAGGCUUUUAAAGGUGCGCAAUGAGGGAUCAGCAAACUAAACUUGUUAUAUCUUGACCGAAUGUGUGUCUUGGAGCGCAACUUGGUAAUUACCUUUUUCAAAUGUAAUAGAUAUGUAAUUUAACUAACUUCUUCAAAUAUCAUUUUUAAUUUCAAUCAGCUGUGAUUCUCUUCCACAAAAUGAUAAUUUCUAACACUGCAAAUGACCUGUGGUGGAAACCAUGAUAUGUGUGUGCCUUUCGCUUGAAUUCAGACAUGGACUUGAUCUCUUUGAUAUAAGAUUGUUGAUGAAUGGAGGUCAUGGAUUUCUAAUGAUCAAGUUGCUGGUAAACCCACCAUCUCCUUUACAAUUUUUUUU
This 19822-nucleotide long non-coding RNA is filed under the name Manihot esculenta (cassava). Its description in RNAcentral is "long non-coding RNA (MESC_LNC012200)". The record is from RNAcentral. Lineage: Eukaryota; Viridiplantae; Streptophyta; Magnoliopsida; Malpighiales; Euphorbiaceae.